This 240-nucleotide unclassified non-coding RNA is filed under the name soil metagenome. Its description in RNAcentral is "partial contains 5.8S ribosomal RNA, internal transcribed spacer 2, and large subunit ribosomal RNA". The record is from RNAcentral.
AAGACUAUAGACCUGCGGAGUACCAGCGGAAGGAUCAUUAUUGAAUUAUGUUUCUAAAUGGGUUGUAGCUGGCUCGUCAGAGCAUGUGCACGCCUGUUUGGACUUCAUUUUCAUCCACCUGUGCACCUAUUGUAGUCUUUGGUUGGGUAUCAAGGAAGUGGUCAGCCUAUCAGCACUUGCUGGAUGUGAGGACUUGCAGUGUGAAAGCUUUGCUGUCCUUUACUUGAUCAUGGAGUUGUU